UAGCAUAUCACCGUGCUACUAAACGAACGAAGUCACUAUAUGACUAAGACCUCAACCUUUGAUGUCAUCAAGAGUGUUUCUACUUUCACAAGAACCAAACUUAUGUCAUCUUUCAUUGUGUUUAUAGACAAAAUAUCAUAGCAACCAUCAUUUUCUUUAGUUCAUCCCCACACACACCAUCAAUGGAAAUAAAAGAACACAUUCAAAACAAAACAAAAGGUAG
RNAcentral lists this long non-coding RNA (223 nucleotides) under Solanum tuberosum (potato). Its description in RNAcentral is "long non-coding RNA (STUB_LNC000193)". The record is from RNAcentral. Lineage: Eukaryota; Viridiplantae; Streptophyta; Magnoliopsida; Solanales; Solanaceae.